GGGGAUCCCCUCGAUUUCAUUAACGAAACCAAAUAUCUGUCAAUUCCAACCAGAAAUGCAGACCAACAUGUUUUUGUGUUUCCAAAACUUCGCCCAUGCCCUCUCUUGUAUACAAGGAUGGCAAGGCUUUAAGGAGAAAAGGUUCCUAUGUGAGCAUCACCCACAAGGAACUCAGCUAGACCAGACACAGCCUGAACAAAACAUCUAAGCAAGCAAAACUCUCUAUAGUCCACUAAUUUUGAAUCAAUCUUCGAUCCUUGGAACCCAAGAUGCCCAGCUCCUUCGCGCCUGGAAGAUGUCACUCGCGACUCGCUCCAGCAGCUUUGCGCCCUGUUGCAGCUCCAGUUUUGCGUCCUCCCUCCCCUGCAAAACACUCCAAUCAUUAAUCCAAUGCACCAUCUUAUACAUAACCACACUAGGAUCAGCAGGCCAGAUAUGUUGAAAACAAGCUAAAUUUCUAGUCUUCCAGAUGCUCCAAAUCAAAGCCGCUACCCCUACAAAAAUUACUUUCUUUUUCUUCUUUCCAAAAUUUCCCAGCCAAACAUUCAAGCAUGUUUCCACAUUGUAAAAAUCACAUUGAAUCCCUAUUAUGUGGCUUACCAUACUCCACAUAUAUCUGGCCAGGGGGCAUUGGAAAAAAAGAUGGUUAAUAGAUUCAUUUUUACCACAAAAAAGGCAUUGUUUCUCACAUUUUUCGCCCCUAUGAAGUAGAACAUCCCUGGUUAAGAUACUUUUUUUGGUAACUAGCCAGAUGAAUGUUUAAUUCUAGGGGGUAUUUUAACUUUCCAUAAGAAUCUAUUUGGACAUUUUUCCCCAACUUGUAACACCGAAUAAAAAGAUCUAACGCUAUAUUCUCCCAAUCCCUCUGGGAUCCAGAAAAGCUUAUCAUCUUCUUUAUUCAGGACGACUUCUCCACACAUUUUCAGUAGAUCUUGCCAUUGACUUGCCUUAUCCCCCACCAAAUUCCUCCUGAAUUUCAGCGAGGUGAGAUGAGAAGACAAAGCGUCAGCUACAGCGAUAUGUUGGUCUAGAGAAACAUUAUAGAGUUCAUGGAAAGUGACUGCUAAGCUCUUGCUUCCAGUCCAAUUAUCUUCCCACAAUCUCGUUUUCUCACCAUUCCCUAUAAUAAAUUUGCAACAUGCCAAAAACAGAUUUGCAUUUCAUCACACCCUCCGAGAAGUGUGAGUCUCCUGCUUUUUUUUGCACCUGUCCAAAAGUGUUUUUCCCAAUAUAUUUGUCCCAUAAGACGUUUUGCCAUAAACCUUUUUCAUUGAAAAGUUUCCAAAGCCAAUUGGAUAGUAAGGCAAUAUUCAUUUAAUCAAGGUCCAGAAUCCCUAGGCCACCCAGUGUUUUGGGUCUACAAACUCUCUCCCAAGCAACUAGGUGGUAUUUAUGUUUAUCUUCCUCUCCACUCCAUAAAAAACUUGCCCUUGGUCUAUCCAUUUUCUUUUUAACCCCCUUAGGAACCUCAUAAAAGGAGAGCAUGUAAAGGAUUAGACUAGUGAGGGAAGAAUUUAUUAAAGUGGUUCUUCCAGCAAUAUUUAAAAGCCUACCUAGCCAACUCCCUAGUCUUUUCUCCAAUUUGGAAAUAGAAGGGUUCCAAUCAGUUCCUUUCAAUCUUUUCUCGUCCAAAGGAAUCCCCAAAUAUUUAAAGGGAAGCUUUCCUUUUCUACAAGUUAAGAUUUCUUCAAAUUGUUUAAUUCUGUCUUCAUCCACCCCAACACAGAUCACUUCACUCUUAUGAAAAUUAAUUUUCAAACCAGACAUAAUCUCAAAAAGGUUCAGAAUCCUUUCACAUUUUUUGCUUGCACCAAAUCAUCCUGAAAAAGAAUGAUAGUGUCAUCUUCAUAUUGCAAAAUAGACACAUCAUUUUCUUUGUGAUUUUUAGCAAGACCACUAACCAAAUUUUUUCCUACAGCUCUGUCAAAUGAAAUUGCGAGUAUAUCUACCGCUAGCUCAAACAACAAAGGAGAUAUUGAGUCUCCUUGUCGUAGUCCUUGAUGGGUUUUGAAAUAGGAGCCAAUUUCUCCAUUAACCUUACUAGCUACCUUCCCUCCAGUAACUGUCUUCAUCACCCAAUUAAUCAUUCUACCUGGGAAUUUUUUCAUCUCAAGAAUAUGAAGAAGAAAAGGCCAUUUAACUUUGUCAAAGGCUUUUUCAAAAUCAAUCUUAAAAAGUACCCCCGAUUUCUUUUCUUUAUGCAUAGAAUUCAGAGUUUCAUGUAGCACCACACACCCUCUAGUAUGUAUCUCCCCUGGAUAAAAGCAGUUUGAGAUGCCUUAAUUACCCCAGAAAUAACAAGCACAAUUCUGUUAACUAAGAUUUUUGUAAAAAAAAUUAAAACCACAUUCAGCAAGCAAAUUGGUCUAUAUUACUGAAUUCUACCAGCAUCACUUCCUUUCGGAAUGAGGGAAAUAACCCCAUAAUUUAGUCUCUCCAGAUCUUGAUUAUGAGAAUAAAAUUCCUCAAGCAAUCUGAAUAGAUCACUUUUCACCAAUUCCCAAUAAUGUUGAUAAAAUUCAAUACUAAAACCAUCCGGUCCAGCAGCUUUAUUUUUUUCCAUUCCAAACACGGCCUUCUUCAACUCCUCCAUUGUAAACUUUUUUGUGAGAAAGUUUUGCUCCUUCUCAGUGAGUGUUUCCACCCCACUAGAGUCUAUUUUAAGAGCAUUAUUUUCUGGUUCACAAAACAAUUUCUUAUAGAAAUUAGUAGUAUAAUUUUUCAGAUUAUCUUGCCCCUCAAUCACCCCUUCAUCUUGCUGCAAUUUAAUAAUCCUAUUUUUCCUCAAUCUGCCAUUAGCUUUAAUGAGAUAGUAUCUAGUAUUUGAAUCUCCUUCCAGCAACUCAGUAUCAUGGGACCUUUGCAACCAUUUAAUUUCAUCCUCUUUUAAAAAAAAUACAAUUCAUCACGGUAAGUUUUCUUAUAUUCUCUGUCAUAGCUAUUCAACACCUCAUCUUCUUCUAACUUAUCUAGCCUGUCAAUUUCUUCGAGCAAUCCUUUUUUCUAUGUCCUCAUGUUAGCUUCAAAGUAGAGGUUCCACCCCUUCAGCGCUUUCCUCAAUUCUUUCAUCUUAUUGUGAAAUUUAUCAAGGAAAGAGAUACCAGGGUAUUCCUUAUUCCGCACCUUUUCAACUAUUUUAUCCAGGUCUACCCUCUGAAACCAGCAAUUUUCAAAUUUGAAAAUGUAAGGUUUCGGUUGCAGUUCCCCAGUUCUAAUAAUCAACGGUGUAUGAUCCGAUAAUCCCCAGUCCAGCGUAUCUAUGUGUACUGAGGGAAAAAAUUUCUACCAGGCAGGUGAGAUCAACACUAUCUAACAAUGCAUAAGUGGGGUCCUCAUGAUUGUUAGACCAAGUGUAUUUCCUUCCCACCAAAGGUAGCUCCAGCAUUUCCCCAAAAGUAAUGAUGGAGUUAAAAAGUAAACUCCAUUUGUUAUAGCCUCCAGGUUUAUUCUUGUCACUACUUUUCCUAGUUAGGUUAAAAUCUCCUGCAACCAGCAAGGGAUUUUUGGAUUUCUUAAAAAUAUGCACCAGUUCCACUAGGAAUUUAGGUUUGCCCGAAGGUUGUGCAUCACCAUGAACUACUACUAAGUUCCAAGUAAAACCAUCACUAACAUUACUGACAUUAACUCUAACAAAAUAUUCACCAAACUCAACCUCUCUUUUAGCUAAAGUAGUUUUAUUAAUACCUACUAAAAUUCCACCAGACCUUCCUCUAGAAGGUAAAAAAUCCCAACCAAAAUCUUCCUGGGUACUCAACGCCGAC
Molecule: long non-coding RNA, 3761 nt
Filed under: Triticum aestivum (bread wheat)
Lineage: Eukaryota; Viridiplantae; Streptophyta; Magnoliopsida; Poales; Poaceae
Description: long non-coding RNA (TAES_LNC000355)
Source: RNAcentral